Molecule: ribosomal RNA, 377 nt
Filed under: uncultured eukaryote
Lineage: Eukaryota
Description: partial 18S ribosomal RNA
Rfam family: Eukaryotic small subunit ribosomal RNA
Source: RNAcentral
CAAUAGCGUAUAUUUAAGUUGCUGCAGUUAAAAAGCUCGUAGUUGGAUUUCGGGUGGGAAUGGCCGGUCCGCCGUUUCGGUGUGCACUUGCUACGCCCACCUUGCUGCCGGGGACGUGCUCUUGAGUUCACGCUUGGGACACGGAGUCGGCGAGGUUACUUUGAGUAAAUUAGAGUGUUCAAAGCAGGCCUACGCUCUGAAUACAUUAGCAUGGAAUAACACGAUAGGACUCUGGCCUAUCUUGUUGGUCUGUAGGACCGGAGUAAUGAUUAAGAGGGACAGUCGGGGGCAUUCGUAUUUCAUUGUCAGAGGUGAAAUUCUUGGAUUUAUGAAAGACGAACUACUGCGAAAGCAUUUGCCAAGGAUGUUUUCAUUAA